This 468-nucleotide ribosomal RNA is filed under the name uncultured bacterium. RNAcentral describes it as "partial 16S ribosomal RNA". It matches the Rfam family "Bacterial small subunit ribosomal RNA", at positions 28 to 507 of the family's 1533-position model. The record is from RNAcentral.
GACGAACGCUGGCGGCGUGCUUAACACAUGCAAGUCGAACGGAAAGGCCCUGCUUUUGUGGGGUGCUCGAGUGGCGAACGGGUGAGUAACACGUGAGUAACCUGCCCUUGACUUUGGGAUAACUUCAGGAAACUGGGGCGAAUACCGGAUAGGAGCUCCUGCUGCAUGGUGGGGGUUGGAAAGUUUCGGCGGUUGGGUAUGGACUCGCGGCUUAUCAGCUUGUUGGUGGGGUAGUGGCUUACCAAGGCUUUGACGGGUAGCCGGCCUGAGAGGGUGACCGGCCACAUUGGGACUGAGAUACGGCCCAGACUCCUACGGGAGGCAGCAGUGGGGAAUAUUGCACAAUGGGCGGAAGCCUGAUGCAGCAACGCCGCGUGCGGGAUGACGGCCUUCGGGUUGUAAACCGCUUUCGCCUGUGACGAAGCGUGAGUGACGGUAAUGGGUAAAGAAGCACCGGCUAACUACGUG